This 253-nucleotide ribosomal RNA is filed under the name uncultured bacterium. RNAcentral's name for it is "partial 16S ribosomal RNA". It matches the Rfam family "Bacterial small subunit ribosomal RNA", at positions 524 to 776 of the family's 1533-position model. The record is from RNAcentral.
UACGUAGGGGGCAAGCGUUGUCCGGAUUUAUUGGGCGUAAAGCGCGCGUAGGCGGCAAGGUAUGUCGUGCGUGAAAUCUCCCGGCUUAACUGGGAGGGCCGUGCGAAACUGCCUGGCUUGAGGUCGGAAGGGGAAAGUGGAAUUCCGGGUGUAGUGGUGGAAUGACGUAGAUAUCCGGAGGAACACCAGCGGCGAAGGCGGCUUUCUGGUCCGAUUCUGACGCUGAGGCGCGAAAGCGUGGGGAGCGAUCCGG